UACAGAGGUCUCAAGCGUUGUUCGGAUUCAUUGGGCGUAAAGGGUGCGUAGGCGGCGCGGUAAGUCGGGUGUGAAAUCUCGGGGCUUAACUCCGAAACUGCAUUCGAUACUGCCGUGCUUGAGGACUGGAGAGGAGACUGGAAUUUACGGUGUAGCGGUGAAAUGCGUAGAUAUCGUAAGGAACACCGAUGGCGAAGGCAGCCCCCUGGGCUGAGAUUGACGCUCAGGCACGAAAGCGUGGGGAGCAAACAGG
Molecule: ribosomal RNA, 253 nt
Filed under: uncultured bacterium
Lineage: Bacteria
Description: partial 16S ribosomal RNA
Rfam family: Bacterial small subunit ribosomal RNA
Source: RNAcentral